AGCCAGAAGCCUUAGCUCUCAGCCAAAGCAUUGACUGGGAAAGCUGCGUGAUGUCCUCUGAUGUGCGGAGAAGGGGCUGGCUGUUGUCCCUCUCCUUUUGCUGCCCUGACUCUAGGAGCUUGAGUGCCUUUUAUCUGCCAGAAACCAGCACUGAUAUCAGAGAGUGCAAGGAACCCUGUGGCUUUUCCAAAUAGAUGCACGACGGAGAAAUGCUAAUGGCCAGGACGGCUUGUGUCGCCGCAGUCAAAGACUUAUCAUCUUGGGAAUGACUGAUUCACGUGGCUGUGUAAGGUAAAAGGAAGCAAUGCCAGGUUUCUGGGACUGAUGUUGCAAACGCUCUGGCCUGAAUGCCAACAUUUGUGCCAGUCCCACAGCUCUGCAGCAUUAAUGAAAUCGUUGGAUGAUGCUCUAUGAGUUGAAGUGGCCAAAAUGCUCUGUUGCAACCUUCAGAUUAAGUGCUGCUCAUCAAACCCCGGAGAUCCUGUGGUUUGUUGGAGAACCCUUGGGGAGCGGGAAGCAGCGUGCGGCUCCCCAGCAGCCAGAGCCUCCCACCUGGGUGCGCGGUCCUGGCUCUCCGCUCGGGACCGGCGUAGGGAGCUCGGGGGCUGCGGCAGCCCUGCCCUUGCAAUGUGCUUCAGUUACCCCAAUGAGUUUCAGAUCCAGCCACCCACUGCCCUCCUCCGCUCGCUGCUCAGGACAGCAAGAGGUGUAGCCAGCAUCCUGCCAGCUUUCCCUAAGCAAACAACACUCGGCCCGAGAGCACUGCUGAUGAAGCUUAUUAAAGAGACAAUCUCCCAGCAUCUGUUUUCCAUCUUACACCUGUUUUUCACACGCUGGCUUCAUUUUUUAAGUUUGCCUGCUUAUGAGCUUUGCCAAACAACAAAAAAAGUGUUACACUCUACUUGUACUGACAUUUUGGUCAGAAAUCCCAAAGUGUGUGAGGAAGAGAAGUAAAAGACUUGGGAAGCUGUUGCCAAGUAUGAAUACGUCACUCCAGCUUCGAACCAUGUCUGCCACUAUGCUGCCUGGAGCUGUAGCAGCUAGCAAGUUGUGUGAUUUACGUUCAUGUUGUGGCCUUCUUGUAUUUAGCAGGGUUUGAGCUGAGGCAGACAACUCAAUUGAAAAGCAUUUUUUCUGCAGCCAGGACUUGCGUGUGGGGAACCGGAACCGGUUCAGUUUGAGCAAAAGCUCACCUGGACUGUGCAGUAAGGAUAAGCCUGCUGAGCCUUUGCUGAGGCUUUCAUACAUGCUCAGUUCUAGUGGGCUCCUGCCUGGCUUUCCCUGCCUCUGGCUGCCUGCUCGGGGUGUCCAAAGCCUGGAGAUGCUCUUCUUCGUGCUGCCCAUCUCCUGUGGGCUCAUGGGGUAGAUGUGUCCCUCAUUCGUUAUCCUUGGUGCCCAUUGCUCGGUGGACCGGCUUGCUUCCUCCCCAGUUGUAACCAGCACUGUUAGGUUUUUGGCUCUAAUAAUCAUAAUUUGAAGCUCUAAUGGAUAUCCACACAGAUAACAUGCUAAUUUAUUAGUUCAGCUCAACUGGGCUGCAGGAUGAAAAAUGAUUGCGGAAGACUUUUAAUAAAAUUCAAAGGGAUUUUAUAGGUCUCAAGCCACUUUUAAAAUGCAAAAGAAAGCCAAGAGUAUUACUUUGUUAACCCACAUAAUUCUAUCCUGCCUAAUGAGGUCUGGAGCUAAUCUUCAGCGCUCUGCCCUGGGAUCAGAAUUAUUGGAGCAGGUAAACACCGCUAAGUACCACACUGCAUCUCUGAGUUUUGGUUGCAUUGUCACUGUGACUUUCUGUUCCUUCCCUUUUAUGAACUUUUCAUAAAGCUCAGAAUAGAGAUGAUUAUGUAAAAACAAAGAGCUGGCUUCCUGUAGUGACUU
Gymnogyps californianus (California condor) is the source of this 1875-nucleotide long non-coding RNA. RefSeq lists it as uncharacterized. NCBI's taxonomy places the organism in Eukaryota, Metazoa, Chordata, Aves, Accipitriformes, Cathartidae. The record is from RefSeq and is a predicted model, not a curated record. The transcript is spliced from 5 exons.